RNAcentral lists this transfer RNA (73 nucleotides) under Lachnospiraceae bacterium NE2001. It matches the Rfam family "tRNA". From Rfam's summary of the family: Transfer RNA (tRNA) molecules are approximately 80 nucleotides in length. Lineage: Bacteria; Bacillati; Bacillota; Clostridia; Lachnospirales; Lachnospiraceae. The record is from Rfam by way of RNAcentral.
GCUUUCAUAGCUCAACUGGUAGAGCAUCUGAUUUGUAAUCAGGAGGUUGUGGGUUCGAUUCCCUCUGGAAGCU